AGGCACUUAGGAUAAUUAAUAGACCAAAAGCCUUCAAAGCUUUAAGUAGAAGUGAGAAUCUUCUAGUCCCUG
Molecule: transfer RNA, 72 nt
Filed under: Puntius sahyadriensis (Khavli barb)
Lineage: Eukaryota; Metazoa; Chordata; Actinopteri; Cypriniformes; Cyprinidae
Description: tRNA-Trp
Rfam family: tRNA
About the family: Transfer RNA (tRNA) molecules are approximately 80 nucleotides in length.
Source: RNAcentral